Molecule: ribosomal RNA, 383 nt
Filed under: uncultured bacterium
Lineage: Bacteria
Description: bacterial SSU rRNA
Rfam family: Bacterial small subunit ribosomal RNA
Source: RNAcentral
AUUGAACGCUGGCGGAAUGCUUUACACAUGCAAGUCGAGCGGCAGCGCGGGGCAACCUGGCGGCGAGCGGCGAACGGGUGAGUAAUGCAUCGGAACAUGUCCAUGUCGUGGGGGGAUAGCCCGGCGAAAGCCGGAUUAAUACCGCAUACGUCCGAGAGGAGAAAGUGGGGGACCCGCAAGGGCCUCACGCGAUUGGGUUGGCCGAUGUCCGAUUAGCUAGUUGGUGGGGAAAGGCUCACCAAGGCGAUGAUCGGUAGCUGGUCUGAGAGGAUGAUCAGCCACACUGGGACUGAGACACGGCCCAGACUCCUACGGGAGGCAGCAGUGGGAAUUUUGGACAAUGGGGCAACCCUGAUCCAGCCAUUCCGCGUGAGUGAAGAAGG